Molecule: long non-coding RNA, 3202 nt
Organism: Aphidius gifuensis
Lineage: Eukaryota; Metazoa; Arthropoda; Insecta; Hymenoptera; Braconidae
Exons: 4
Source: RefSeq, a predicted model, not a curated record
GGAAAUUUUAGAUUGUCUUUUUUGUCAAGAGUUCUACCGACAUCCGAAAUCAGUUACUUCGAAUGAUGCACGGAGAAAACUAUUUUACAAAAGUUGCUGUGCUAGCACAACACAAUGUUAUCAAUUACGGAUAUAUAAAUGAAGACUGCACUAUGGUAAUUAAAAUCUAAAUUGAGUAUAAGUCGUAUGAAGUGAUAUAAUAAGAAUAAACCACAAAUGGCUCUAUCGAUCGAAAAACGAACAAUUAAUGUUGUUUGAUAACGAAAAUAAUAGAAUAAUAUAAAAAAACUGUACAAAUGAUAAGUAUCAUUCAAAUUAUAUGAUGAAAACAAAUUUAAUGCCUGAUUUAUAAAAAUAAAGGAAUGAUUCAACGUACAUUGAGUUCUUUGUUAUGUGAUUAUUAACUAUCAGUAUAGUUUUUUUUUUACAAAGUUGUAUGAAUUUAGAUUCAAGAUUAUCGUAGAAUUUUUCUACCAGCUUUUAGAAGGUUUAAAGCAAGGUCAUACAAAUAUUCGCACUACUCUUCUUCCAUGUUUCCGGUGUCAAAAUUGAGUUAAGUAAUAUGUAUCGAAGGUGGUUGGCUCUGUAAAAGUGUAUGACGACGAUGAAAGUUCCUUUUAGUAGGCCACUUUCAAGACGAGGUUGAUCCACUUUCAAACCAUUUUUUAUCUUAAAUAUCAGGUCUCAAUAGACCUAUGGAAUGUCACGUCUGGAAUAACAUAAAAAUAUGAAAGCACAAUUGAAUAAGUGACCGAAACUUGUGCCAUGAACGAACCGGAUUUUGAAUUGGAGGUAUUUGUAUUUGUUCAUGUGUAAUAUUAUGACAACCUGUUAUACUCGCGUUUGAAAUUAUUUAGUACACUGAAAGCAUAACAGAAGGUUAGUCACACCAAUGUAUUUAUCAGCCUUGCACCACUUCAGACAUUAUGUUCGUGCCACUUUUUCAUGUUCAAUCAUUUUUCUUUCCUCCUUGCUUGAAAUACCGUCUUAUCCAUUAUGAAAAUGAUUGUUAGCUCUUGCUUAUUAUCACCAGCAUUUUGCGUAUAACUGCUACAAUUAUGCUCAACAACUCAACUAUAAUUAAAAUUCAUGUGAUAGCACCAGAAAGUGUUGUUGAAUAUAUAUGGCAGCACAUCCAGCAUGGGCACGUGGAAUUCUACUUGAGCUGACAAAGCCAUUAGAUGUAAAAAUUGAAAAUGAAGAAGUAAGAGGUCCUUAAAAAAAAACAAAAAAUAAAUGCUUUCGCACAUUUAAUAAAAUAAAUUCAUGGUACUAGACAAAAACGUGAAUUUCUUGUUAAUGAAUAUAGUAAGUUUCAAUAAGUAACAGAUAAAGAUAUAAAAAAACAAAAAGAUAAAAUUAAAAAAGAGCUUAAAAAUAAAAAAAAUUAAUCAUCGUUAAUAACACAAUUCACACAAAAAAUUAGAACAGAAGGAGUAAAGAAAAAAUUGCCGAAAACUUGCGAGUGUCCUAAUGGUGAUAAUCGCGAAGGUGCUGAUGGUACAAUAAAAAGAUUAACUCGUAGUUAGAGUGAAAGAUAUGUAGCAAUUUGUAAAGAACAAGAAAUGAAAGAACGUGAAUUACAAGAAAAAUAUAAUGACACUGUAUUUACUCUUGUUAAAAAAGUUAUAAAAAAAUCACAGACAAAUCAAUUAGAAACACUUAGAGUUUUGUUGGAAAGAGAAACAAAUGCUGCUAUAAAAAGACUUCAAACUCUUAGACAUAGCAAGGUAAAAUAAUAAGCAGAAGUACACAAAGAAAAAGCAGAAUUAGAUCGUAUGAAACUUAAAGUUGCUAAAAUAACGGUUGAAAAAAGAGUCAAUGAAUGCACUAGAUUAACGGAAAUAUAUGAAAAAAAAAUCCGAGUUAGAAAUUGUGCAUGAAAAAGUACGUUAAAAAUUCGAAGAAGAAAAAAAUAAUGGUACAUCAGCAUUAAAAGCAGAGUAUACUAGUCGAUGUCUUCCAGUAUUACCAUCAGGAAAAAAUGAAUGAUGAUGUUAAAUUAAUUGAAUCAAGUAUUAAUAGUAAAAUAAGUGGAAUUGAGAAACGUAUACCAGGGCCAGAUACAGGUUUAAUGCAUUAAAGAAAUUGUUGAUAUGUGUCAGAAAAAAAUGACAAAACAAUAUCUUGAUAAAGAAAUAAAUUAUUUAAACCAACAUCACCAUUUAUUAAAACAACAAUUUCAUUAGACAGACCACCAAAAAGAGCGACAUUUAAUUUAGUACCAAGACGUGAGCUGAUUUUACCAGCAUCAAAUUUCUCAUAAUUUCACCAUCAAAUCAUUCAUAUUGUCUAACAGAUUUCUUAUGUGACAAUGUCAACAAAAAAAUUACAAAACGAAACUUUAAAUUUAUACAGACACUGAUGAUUUAAAAUUGAGUGUAAAAUUUGAUGAUAAAGUGUAAAAGAUAAUUUAAAUAACCAUGAUAAUGAUGAUGAAAUAUCAUUAUUCGGUGCCGAAUAUCAAUAGCAACAAUAUCAAACCAUUCAAAUGACGUUGUUAAAAAUUUGGAGCUGUUUAUUUGGUUAAAGAAAAAAUGUCACGUCAAUGUUUUCUUAUGAAAAAAAUAAUUAGAAAUAAUUUAAUUUCGAGAAAUCAAGUUGAUCAAAUAUUUUCUGAACGUGAUAUUAUGAGUUUUACUGAUAAUUCAUUUGUCGUAUCAAUGUAUUGAUAAUUUAUUAAUAUUAGCCAUAUUAAAUCAACUGAUUUUGGUUCAAGUAAAAUGGGUCAAAUGUCAUUGGCAACAAAAUCAUAUGAAAGAUAUAUUGAUCGUGAUACAACAGAAAUUUCUGAUGAACAAGUAUUUAGUACACCAGAAUGUAUUGCACCAAAAAUUACGUCAAGGUUAUAGUAAACCAGGUAGUUGGUGGUCAAUGGGAAUUGUUUUGUAUAAAUUGUUAAUUGGUUGUGUACUAUUUCUUGGUAGUACACCUUAGGAAUUAACUGCACAUACUGUUAAUGAUAAUAUUGAGGGGCUAGAUGAAGCAGAUUGGCCAGUACAACCAUAAGCUAAAGAUAUUAUGAUUAAAUCUCAUGAUUCACAAUUAUUUCGUUGUUUUUCAUCAUAUUGACCACAAUCAAGAGAAAUAUCACAAACAAGACCAUUAAAUUUUAAUGAACAUGAUAAUAAUAAUUCAGCUACUAAAAAAUUAUUAUUUAAUAAUAAACUUGAACAUAAUGAAGAUUAAGUGAAUGAUUUAU